This 943-nucleotide ribosomal RNA is filed under the name Sphagnurus paluster. RNAcentral's name for it is "LSU rRNA". It matches the Rfam family "Eukaryotic large subunit ribosomal RNA", at positions 38 to 964 of the family's 3401-position model. Lineage: Eukaryota; Fungi; Basidiomycota; Agaricomycetes; Agaricales; Lyophyllaceae. The record is from RNAcentral.
GCAUAUCAAUAAGCGGAGGAAAAAGAAACUAACAAGGAUUCCCCUAGUAACUGCGAGUGAAGCGGGAAAAGCUCAAAUUUAAAAUCUGGUAGUCUUUGGCUGCCCGAGUUGUAAUCUAGAGAAGCAUUAUCCGCGCUGGACCGUGUACAAGUCUCCUGGAACGGAGCGUCAUAGAGGGUGAGAAUCCCGUCUUUGACACGGACUACCAGGGCUUUGUGAUGUGCUCUCAAAGAGUCGAGUUGUUUGGGAAUGCAGCUCUAAAUGGGUGGUAAAUUCCAUCUAAAGCUAAAUAUUGGCGAGAGACCGAUAGCGAACAAGUACCGUGAGGGAAAGAUGAAAAGAACUUUGGAAAGAGAGUUAAACAGUACGUGAAAUUGUUGAAAGGGAAACGCUUGAAGUCAGUCGCGUUUGCCGGGGAUCAACCUUGCUUCUUGCUUGGCUUACUUCCUGGUAGACGGGUCAGCAUCAAUUUUGACCGGUGGAUAAAGGCUAGGGGAAUGUGGCAUCUUCGGGUGUGUUAUAGCCCUUGGUCGCAUACAUCGGUUGGGAUUGAGGAACUCAGCACGCCGCAAGGCCGGGUCUUUGACCACGUUCGUGCUUAGGAUGCUGGCAUAAUGGCUUUAAUCGACCCGUCUUGAAACACGGACCAAGGAGUCUAACAUGCCCGCGAGUGUUUGGGUGGAAAACCCGAGCGCGUAAUGAAAGUGAAAGUUGAGAUCCCUGUCGUGGGGAGCAUCGACGCCCGGACCAGACCUUUUGUGACGGUCCCGCGGUAGAGCGUGUAUGUUGGGACCCGAAAGAUGGUGAACUAUGCCUGAAUAGGGUGAAGCCAGAGGAAACUCUGGUGGAGGCUCGUAGCGAUUCUGACGUGCAAAUCGAUCGUCGAAUUUGGGUAUAGGGGGCGAAAGACUAAUCGAACCAUCUAGUAGCUGGGUUCUGCGAG